RNAcentral lists this ribosomal RNA (119 nucleotides) under Pteropus alecto (black flying fox). Lineage: Eukaryota; Metazoa; Chordata; Mammalia; Chiroptera; Pteropodidae. The record is from RNAcentral. RNAcentral also lists the same sequence under 1 other name.
GUCUAUGACCAUGCCACCCUGAACGAGCCCAAUCUCAUCUGAUUUUGGAAGCUAAGCAGGGUUGGGCCUGGUUAGUACUUGGAUGAGAGACCACCUAGAAAGACCAGGUGCUGCAGGCA